AACGAACGCUGGCGGCAGGCCUAACACAUGCAAGUCGAGCGAGCAUUUCGGUGCUAGCGGCGGACGGGUGAGUAACGCGUGGGAACGUGCCCUUUUCUGCGGAAUAGUCCUGGGAAACUGGGGGUAAUACCGCAUACGCCCUUUUGGGGAAAGAUUUAUCGGAGAAGGAUCGGCCCGCGUUGGAUUAGGUAGUUGGGGGGGUAAUGGCCCACCAAGCCGACGAUCCAUAGCUGGUUUGAGAGGAUGAUCAGCCACACUGGGACUGAGACACGGCCCAGACUCCUACGGGAGGCAGCAGUGGGGAAUCUUAGACAAUGGGGGCAACCCUGAUCUAGCCAUGCCGCGUGAGUGAUGAAGGCCUUAGGGUUGUAAAGCUCUUUCAGCUGGGAAGAUAAUGACGGUACCAGCAGAAGAAGCCCCGGCUAACUCCGUG
RNAcentral lists this ribosomal RNA (433 nucleotides) under uncultured bacterium. RNAcentral describes it as "partial 16S ribosomal RNA". It matches the Rfam family "Bacterial small subunit ribosomal RNA", at positions 29 to 507 of the family's 1533-position model. The record is from RNAcentral.